UAGCUGAUAUGUAGAUGUGUGCGGGAUUUAAAUUUCCACAUUAAACAUUUAAACACACUCGUGUUACAAUGAAAAAACAGGAUGCAUUCUUUGAGAGAAGAGCUUCUUUUAACCUAGAAGAGUGUUGAUACACGGUACUUUUUCCUUCCCGUUUUUUUCAACAUGCUUGUUGCCAAGUGUGAACACAAAGGGACAAGCUGAAAUAGGUGUCUGGCAGGCUCUUCCCCGCGCCACACGGAGAGCCACCAGCCCUGCUGCUGUCGUUCAGCCCCGUCGCCUCCAGGCAGCCCGAGCGCAGCCCCGCGGCCGAGGCAGCCUUAGGCGUGAAGGCUGCUCCGGUCUGUGCAAGUUCAAAAUGGGAUACGUCCUAUUUAGAAUGUAGAGAGCGACUAAAUAUGACAACCAUCUGAUGUAUGAAAAUUAUUCACAACCAAAAACAGACAGUCUGGAAAUAGCUGGGAUGACUUCAUUUAGACAGAAUUGCCCGAAUCUGUUUCUAAUAUACACAGUACACAUAAUAAAUUUUUACAAUAUGACAAGGAAAACAAACUUAAUAAAAGUUCCUGAUCUUUUGUUACACAAGCAAGCUAUAGCCAUGAUAUGUUUAUAAUAUUUUGCCCAUGAUCUCACAGCUCAGAAACAAAAGCUAAGCAACGCACCAAACAGUCCCUAGGUAUGACUUCACCUCCCCGCGACCGUAAUUACACGGAUGCGCACACUGCCCCAGCCUUCCUCCUCCCACCGCCAUCGCCGCGGCCGCCUUCGACAACUCCUUGCAGUGCUGCUUUUGACUAAUCGCUUCCUUUUCUCCUUCUAGCAGGCACCAUUUGACUUGGGAAGCUGCAGAUUUCUAUUACGAGAGUUUGUUUUUUCCAAUUACACCAGGACUCAUCUGAACGGAAAACAGAUGAUGUCUUACGAUCACAGAAGGUAAUUUUUUCAAGAAGCAAACUUUUUGAGCAUUUCCCAGAUGCACCGCGUCAAUCUUGCUGCGUUCUCCUAUCUCAGCUGGUUUCCCAGCCCGGGCACGGUGCCAGGCGGGCCGGACUGCCCCUCGUUGUCACUUCUGUUCGAUGGCACUUGCACCCACUGCUGUUAUUCCAGGCUUCAGGAAAUUUUCUAACCGCUGGACAGGCUCCAGUGCUGCGCACUAAUAAGUUGCAGAUUGGAGAGCUCAGAGGGCGCGCGAGCAUGUGUGUGUGUGUGUGUGUGUCAGAGCAGUGCCACGGUUUGUGGGGGGGGGGGGAAA
Oxyura jamaicensis (ruddy duck) is the source of this 1249-nucleotide long non-coding RNA. RefSeq lists it as uncharacterized. Lineage: Eukaryota; Metazoa; Chordata; Aves; Anseriformes; Anatidae. The transcript has 2 exons. The record is from RefSeq and is a predicted model, not a curated record.